Molecule: long non-coding RNA, 693 nt
Organism: Rana temporaria (common frog)
Lineage: Eukaryota; Metazoa; Chordata; Amphibia; Anura; Ranidae
Exons: 4
Source: RefSeq, a predicted model, not a curated record
GGUGUUUGUGCCGUGAUGGCUAUUCUUGUGCGUUUUCUGUUUGGGCAUGGGGAAUUUUUGCUUUGUGCCCUGAACUUUGUGGGCCGUUUUGGGCGAUAUACCAUAUUAGUCCGCCUCAGUGGGAUCUCUAUUUAUGCGCCGCACUAUCGAAACGGCGCGCAUCUAUGACGUCAUCACGUUAUACGUCCAUGUGAUCCCACAGCCUAUAUAAACCUGAUGCUCAUGCAAUGGCGCUGUGUCACCGUGUGUACACCCUGGGACACAGACGCAUUGCUGCUGCAAUCAGUUAUAGGGCCUGUACAAAAGCCCCAUACAAAGGCUGCUACAGAAAGGGUUUCUCUAUGUAAGCCCCUCCACAUUGCUGUUAUACUGCCAUCUGUUGUCCCAGUGUGCUCAGGACUUCAUAAAAAUAGUCCGAGUAUUAACUCUUCCUGUGGUACAUAUCUUCCACCUUUUGGACUUGCAGUCUUGACUCUUUCGACUCACCUAAGAUUUUCGAUAUAUGGAAACUUGUGCCUAAAGCUUACCUUCCGACUUGGUAUAUUUCCAUCUUAUAUGCCCCGUGGACGCACCCAUCGAGGGACCACCAGCCAUGUAAAUACACACUAUGACACUUUUAUGCAUUGCAUUUUAUUUUAAUUCUAUAUUUUGAUUAAUAUUUUUGUUUGACUAAUAUGCCACACUGUAUCAUUG